CGGAGGAUCCAAGCGUUAUCCGGAAUCAUUGGGUUUAAAGGGUCCGUAGGCGGUUUGGUAAGUCAGUGGUGAAAGCCCAUCGCUCAACGGUGGAACGGCCAUUGAUACUGCCAGACUUGAAUUACUGGGAAGUAACUAGAAUAUGUAGUGUAGCGGUGAAAUGCUUAGAGAUUACAUGGAAUACCAAUUGCGAAGGCAGGUUACUACCGGUGGAUUGACGCUGAUGGACGAAAGCGUGGGUAGCGAACAGGAUUAGAUACCCUGGUAGUCCACGCCGUAAACGAUGGAUACUAGCUGUUGGUGGCAACAUCAGUGGCUAAGCGAAAGUGAUAAGUAUCCCACCUGGGGAGUACGUUCGCAAGAAUG
RNAcentral lists this ribosomal RNA (366 nucleotides) under uncultured organism. RNAcentral's name for it is "bacterial SSU rRNA". It matches the Rfam family "Bacterial small subunit ribosomal RNA", at positions 526 to 896 of the family's 1533-position model. The record is from RNAcentral.